This 253-nucleotide ribosomal RNA is filed under the name uncultured bacterium. RNAcentral's name for it is "partial 16S ribosomal RNA". It matches the Rfam family "Bacterial small subunit ribosomal RNA", at positions 524 to 776 of the family's 1533-position model. The record is from RNAcentral.
UACGUAGGGUGCAAGCGUUGUCCGGAAUUAUUAGGCGUAAAGAGCUCGUAGGCGGUUUGUCGCGUCUGCUGUGAAAACUCGGGGCUUAACUCCGGGCCUGCAGUGGGUACGGGCAGACUAGAGUGCGGUAGGGGAGACUGGAAUUCCUGGUGUAGCGGUGAAAUGCGCAGAUAUCAGGAGGAACACCGGUGGCGAAGGCGGGUCUCUGGGCCGUAACUGACGCUGAGGAGCGAAAGCGUGGGGAGCGAACAGG